RNAcentral lists this ribosomal RNA (158 nucleotides) under Acaulospora laevis. Its description in RNAcentral is "5.8S ribosomal RNA". It matches the Rfam family "5.8S ribosomal RNA". Rfam says of the family: 5.8S ribosomal RNA (5.8S rRNA) is a component of the large subunit of the eukaryotic ribosome. The record is from RNAcentral. Lineage: Eukaryota; Fungi; Glomeromycota; Glomeromycetes; Diversisporales; Acaulosporaceae. RNAcentral also lists the same sequence under 3 other names.
CAACUUUCAACAACGGAUCUCUUGGCUCUUGCAUCGAUGAAGAACGCAGCGAAAUGCGAUAAGUAAUGUGAAUUGCAGAAUUCCGUGAAUCAUCAAAUCUUUGAACGCAAAUUGCACUCUUUGGUAUUCCGAAGAGUAUGCUUGCUUGAGGGUUGGAU